AUUGAACGCUGGCGGCAUGCCUUACACAUGCAAGUCGAACGGCAGCAUAGGAGCUUGCUCCUGAUGGCGAGUGGCGAACGGGUGAGUAAUAUAUCGGAACGUGCCCUAGAGUGGGGGAUAACUAGUCGAAAGACUAGCUAAUACCGCAUACGAUCUACGGAUGAAAGUGGGGGAUCGCAAGACCUCAUGCUCCUGGAGCGGCCGAUAUCUGAUUAGCUAGUUGGUGGGGUAAAAGCUCACCAAGGCGACGAUCAGUAGCUGGUCUGAGAGGACGACCAGCCACACUGGGACUGAGACACGGCCCAGACUCCUACGGGAGGCAGCAGUGGGGAAUUUUGGACAAUGGGGGCAACCCUGAUCCAGCAAUGCCGCGUGAGUGAAGAAGGCCUUCGGGUUGUAAAGCUCUUUUGUCAGGGAAGAAACGGUUCUGGAUAAUACCUGGGACUAAUGACGGUACCUGAAGAAUAAGCACCGGCUAACUACGUGCCAGCAGCCGCCGUAA
This 502-nucleotide ribosomal RNA is filed under the name uncultured bacterium. RNAcentral's name for it is "partial 16S ribosomal RNA". It matches the Rfam family "Bacterial small subunit ribosomal RNA", at positions 30 to 523 of the family's 1533-position model. The record is from RNAcentral.